RNAcentral lists this ribosomal RNA (407 nucleotides) under uncultured bacterium. RNAcentral's name for it is "bacterial SSU rRNA". It matches the Rfam family "Bacterial small subunit ribosomal RNA", at positions 29 to 417 of the family's 1533-position model. The record is from RNAcentral.
AAUCAACGCUGGCGGCGUGCCUAACACAUGCAAGUCGAGCGGGAAAGGGGGCUUCGGCCCCUGAGUAUAGCGGCGGACGGGUGAGUAACACGUGGGUAAUUUGCCCUUGGGUGUGGAAUAACUCAGGGAAACUUGAGCUAAUACCGCAUGACAUCCCCUUCACACACGAGUCGGGGAUCAAAGCCGGGGACCCUUCGGGGCCUGGCGCCUGAGGAGAAGCCCGCGCCCGAUUAGCUAGNGGUGAGGUAAUGGCUCACCAAGGCUUCGAUCGGUAGCCGGCCUGAGAGGGCGGACGGCCACACUGGGACUGAGACACGGCCCAGACUCCUACGGGAGGCAGCAGUGGGGAAUUUUUGUCAAUGGGGGGAAACCCUGAACAAGCAACGCCGCGUGGAGGACGACGACCU